This 305-nucleotide ribosomal RNA is filed under the name uncultured bacterium. RNAcentral's name for it is "bacterial SSU rRNA". It matches the Rfam family "Bacterial small subunit ribosomal RNA", at positions 333 to 637 of the family's 1533-position model. The record is from RNAcentral.
UGUCUCCUACGGGGGGCAGCAGUGGGAAAUAUUGCACAAUGGGGGAAACCCUGAUGCAGCGACGCCGCGUGAGUGAAGAAGUAUUUCGGUACGUAAAGCUCUCUCAGCAGGGAAGAAAAACCGGCCUUAGGGCCGCCAGACGGUACCUGACUAAGAAGCCCCGGCUAACUACGUGCCAGCAGCCGCGGUAAUACGUAGGGGGCAAGCGUUAUCCGGAUUUACUGGGUGUAAAGGGAGCGUAGACGGAGGAGCAAGUCUGAUGGGAAAAUCCGGGGCCCAACCCCGGAACUGCAUUGGAAACUGUU